UCGUUCUUCUACUCUUUAACCACUCAUGGUCUCCUGUCAAUCGUGAUCUGAGUGGUGCACCAUAUUCAUCUUCGUUGCAGUGUCAACUGUAAUGACAGUCAUUUUGGCAGUUGUAAUCUCUACUUAGCCUACCAACGGACACAGACAUGUACCUCAACACAAUUUCUGUUGAAUUGCCAACUCUUAGCUGUCUGCUGCCUAUUUGCUGGCCCUACAGUCUUUCUAGCCUUCGGACAGCAGAAAACAAAGCCUUCUUCAUCUUCGCCACGCCCGUCAUCCCGUCUUCGCUUCGCCCGUCGUCC
This is a long non-coding RNA of Daphnia carinata, 302 nucleotides long. RefSeq lists it as uncharacterized. The transcript is spliced from 3 exons. NCBI's taxonomy places the organism in Eukaryota, Metazoa, Arthropoda, Branchiopoda, Diplostraca, Daphniidae. The record is from RefSeq and is a predicted model, not a curated record.